This 414-nucleotide long non-coding RNA is filed under the name Lepisosteus oculatus (spotted gar). RNAcentral's name for it is "lncRNA (ENSLOCG00000021860.1)". The record is from RNAcentral. Lineage: Eukaryota; Metazoa; Chordata; Actinopteri; Semionotiformes; Lepisosteidae.
UAUGCCUUUCAGUUAUUAUACCAUUUUCUAAGUGGUCGGAACGGUAUUUAUUGGUCUCUUACUGGAGUUCAGCGCUUGCUUCCAUAAAUCAAGGGAAGGUUUUUCGCAACUCUAAUUAAGAGGAGAGAACAGGCAACCUUCAAUUUAUGCAAGAAUUUUAACAUCCAUAAAUCUUACAUGACUGAACACUGAUUGAACUUGGGGGGCCCAACCCCCACUGUAGUUUUCUGUUUUUAUACCCUCCCUUGUAAUUAAUUGAACUCGUAACCGCAGCGCUUAAAACUCACAGUUGUGCAGAAAGUCUUCGUUCAUUUUAAGAUUGCUGUUGGCCAGAAGCAUCUGGACCACUGCGUAAGAGCACAUAUCCCAUUCUUUUUAUCCAACUCACAAUGGCAGUGAUUAAACCAUCUCCUG